AGAAUCUUCAGAACUCCAGGGAAACUAAUAGACUUCAGAACCCUCCAUCGGUCGGCCCAUCCAUGAAGACUGUGUGAUCCUUUUCAUUUGCAACAUUCAAUCUUGGAAUCUGGAGUCGGUUUUCAAAUGGAGUUGCUGGACUAGCUUAGAUGGAACAUUGGAGAUUUGCAAGUUGCCACGGCCUCUCUACCUAUAAUUGGCUUAGCUGCUAUGAUGUCACAGAGAAGCAAAAGUAAAUCAAUUCACAAAAGAAUGACCAACAUGUGAUGGGCAGUCCCACGUGAGGGCCGUGCAGGCGCUUGCCAGCUGCAGGGAUCAAGUGUCAAAAGAUUCUGGAGACCUCAGCCCUGAAGAAAUGCUCCCCCUUCCCUUCCCUUCCCUUCCCUUCCCUUCCACCUCACACCAAAAUCAAUGGCUCUUCCCGUCCAAACAGGCAUGUGACGGAGGGGUGGAGGAGUGCUCUUCUCUCGGUUCUCCCUUCCCCCCACAAAGAGAGAACUUAUGUAGCUUCAGCUCUUCAAUUACCUGAGGUACUUCAAUUAUUUGCACUUC
This is a long non-coding RNA of Sphaerodactylus townsendi, 552 nucleotides long. RefSeq lists it as uncharacterized. The transcript has 3 exons. The record is from RefSeq and is a predicted model, not a curated record. NCBI's taxonomy places the organism in Eukaryota, Metazoa, Chordata, Lepidosauria, Squamata, Sphaerodactylidae.